Molecule: ribosomal RNA, 301 nt
Filed under: uncultured bacterium
Lineage: Bacteria
Description: partial 16S ribosomal RNA
Rfam family: Bacterial small subunit ribosomal RNA
Source: RNAcentral
CAGUAGCCGCGGGAAUACGGAGGGUGCAAGCGUUAAUCGGAAUUACUGGGCGUAAAGCGUGCGUAGGCGGUUCGUUAAGUCUGUUGUGAAAGCCCCGGGCUCAACCUGGGAAUGGCAAUGGAUACUGGCGAGCUAGAGUGUGUCAGAGGAUGGUGGAAUUCCCGGUGUAGCGGUGAAAUGCGUAGAGAUCGGGAGGAACAUCAGUGGCGAAGGCGGCCAUCCGGGACAACACUGACGCUGAAGCACGAAAGCGUGGGGAGCAAACAGGAUUAGAUACCCCAGUAGUCCCUGUCCUUAUACA